AGUGAACGCUGGCGGUAGGCCUAACACAUGCAAGUCGAACGGCAGCACAGUAAGAGCUUGCUCUUACGGGUGGCGCGUGGCGGACGGGUGAGGAAUACAUCGGAAUCUACUUUUUCGUGGGGGAUAACGUAGGGAAACUUACGCUAAUACCGCAUACGACCUACGGGUGAAAGCAGGGGAUCUUCGGACCUUGCGCGAUUGAAUGAGCCGAUGUCGGAUUAGCUAGUUGGCGGGGUAAAGGCCCACCAAGGCGACGAUCCGUAGCUGGUCUGAGAGGAUGAUCAGCCACACUGGAACUGAGACACGGUCCAGACUCCUACGGGAGGCAGCAGUGGGGAAUAUUCGACAAUGGGCGCAAGCCUGAUCCAGCCAUACCGCGUGGGUGAAGAAGGCCUUCGGGUUGUAAAGCCCUUUUGUUGGGAAAGAAAAGCAGCAGGUUAAUACCCCGCUGUUCUGACGGUACCCAAAGAAUAAGCACCGGCUAACUUCGUG
RNAcentral lists this ribosomal RNA (492 nucleotides) under uncultured bacterium. RNAcentral's name for it is "partial 16S ribosomal RNA". It matches the Rfam family "Bacterial small subunit ribosomal RNA", at positions 29 to 507 of the family's 1533-position model. The record is from RNAcentral.